Non-coding RNA from Candidatus Muproteobacteria bacterium, 83 nucleotides. NCBI's taxonomy places the organism in Bacteria, Pseudomonadati, Pseudomonadota, Candidatus Muproteobacteria. The record is from Rfam.
GCCUUGCCUCCGAAAGGAGGACGCGCAAGCGGAGCGAGAAGUCAGCAGCGGUCGUACUAGCCGUCGAAAGCGCGGUGAAGGAC